CCAUCAACUUCAUCAAAUCAAUCAAAGCUGGUCAUGUCAAGCUCUACGACGCGGAUCCAGAGAGUCUAACACUCCUCUCUCAGACCAAUCUUUACGUCACCAUAACCGUCCCAAACCAUCUAAUCACUUCUCUCAGCACCAACCAAACCACAGCUGAAGAUUGGGUCCAAACCAACAUCAUCCCUUACUACCCGCAAACCCACAUCCGGUUUGUCCUUGUCGGAAACGAAAUCCUCUCCGUCGAAGAGAGGA
Molecule: long non-coding RNA, 252 nt
Filed under: Brassica napus (rape)
Lineage: Eukaryota; Viridiplantae; Streptophyta; Magnoliopsida; Brassicales; Brassicaceae
Description: long non-coding RNA (BNAP_LNC003431)
Source: RNAcentral